UACGAAGGGGGCUAGCGUUGCUCGGAAUCACUGGGCGUAAAGGGUGCGUAGGCGGGUCUUUAAGUCAGGGGUGAAAUCCUGGAGCUCAACUCCAGAACUGCCUUUGAUACUGAGGAUCUUGAGUACGGGAGAGGUGAGUGGAACUGCGAGUGUAGAGGUGAAAUUCGUAGAUAUUCGCAAGAACACCAGUGGCGAAGGCGGCUCACUGGCCCGUAACUGACGCUGAGGCACGAGAGCGUGGGGAGCAAACAGG
This 253-nucleotide ribosomal RNA is filed under the name uncultured bacterium. RNAcentral's name for it is "partial 16S ribosomal RNA". It matches the Rfam family "Bacterial small subunit ribosomal RNA", at positions 524 to 776 of the family's 1533-position model. The record is from RNAcentral.